Molecule: ribosomal RNA, 253 nt
Filed under: uncultured bacterium
Lineage: Bacteria
Description: partial 16S ribosomal RNA
Rfam family: Bacterial small subunit ribosomal RNA
Source: RNAcentral
UACGGAGGGGGCUAGCGUUGUUCGGAAUUACUGGGCGUAAAGAGCGUGUAGGCGGCCCGGUAAGUCCGCUGUGAAAGUCGGGGGCUCAACCCUCGAAUGCCGGUGGAUACUGUCGGGCUAGAGUGCGGAAGAGGCGAGUGGAAUUCCUGGUGUAGCGGUGAAAUGCGCAGAUAUCAGGAGGAACACCAAUUGCGAAGGCAGCUCGCUGGGACGUAACUGACGCUGAGACGCGAAAGCGUGGGGAGCAAACAGG